UCUACGGCUCUAAUCAGAGCCACCAUUUCCAUCAUUGUGGGAAUG
This is a non-coding RNA of Ophiophagus hannah (king cobra), 45 nucleotides long. The record is from Rfam. NCBI's taxonomy places the organism in Eukaryota, Metazoa, Chordata, Lepidosauria, Squamata, Elapidae.